UACGUGGGGUGCGAGCGUUGUCCGGAAUUAUUGGGCGUAAAGAGCUUGUAGGCGGCUUGUCGCGUCUGCUGUGAAAGCCCGGGGCUUAACCCUGGGUCUGCAGUGGGUACGGGCAGGCUAGAGUGUGGUAGGGGAGACUGGAAUUCCUGGUGUAGCGGUGGAAUGCGCAGAUAUCAGGAGGAACACCGAUGGCGAAGGCAGGUCUCUGGGCCAUUUCUGACGCUGAGAAGCGAAAGCGUGGGGAGCGAACAGGAUUAGAACGGUACGUC
RNAcentral lists this ribosomal RNA (269 nucleotides) under uncultured bacterium. RNAcentral describes it as "partial 16S ribosomal RNA". It matches the Rfam family "Bacterial small subunit ribosomal RNA", at positions 524 to 795 of the family's 1533-position model. The record is from RNAcentral.